Molecule: long non-coding RNA, 3593 nt
Organism: Nycticebus coucang (slow loris)
Lineage: Eukaryota; Metazoa; Chordata; Mammalia; Primates; Lorisidae
Exons: 3
Source: RefSeq, a predicted model, not a curated record
ACCAGCUCAGGCUGGUCUCUAAAUGGCAGGUGCCCGUAGUCCCAGCUACUAGAGAGGCUAAUAUAAGAGAAUCGCUUGAGCCCAUGAAUUUGAGGUUGCUGUAAGCUAUGAAGCCAUGGCACUCUACCAAGGGUGACAAAGUGAGACUCUGUCUCAAAAUAAAUAAAUAAAUAAGAAUAAAAAGAUAAGUGUCCGCUUUAAAAUAUAAGUUAACCCUUUUAAGAGACAAUCCCAAGAAGCUGCAUGUGCCUUUAAGAAGGCCAGGCAUCCUCCUGGUCCUCUUCUUUGCCUACACUCUCCCUGAGAGCUCUCACCCACUCAGAACCUUACUGCCUAAAAACAGGUUGAACCCAGACGUGUAGCUGUGCCUGAGACCUGUCCUUUGAACUCCUGACCACCUGCUCAGCUCUGCCACUUGGACACCUCACAGACACCUCAAACUUAACAUGCCCCAAAUCUAACUCCAGUGUUUUACUCCCACUCCUCUGCCUCCUCACCCCCUCCCUCAUCCACCAAUACUGGUCUCCAUCUCUGAAAAGAGUGGCUGUAUUCCUUAGGCAGAGGCCUCAGUACUCCCCGACUCUUCUCACUCUGUUACCAAUCUGACAACAGAUUCCCUGUUCCAUGAGGGAAAGAUUCAGAGUCUGGCCACUUCUCACAGAGUGCCUCCUUUAUCGGAGGCACCACCAUCUCCUAGGCAGCUGCAACAGCCUCCUAACAGGUAUCUGUUUCCACCCUUGCCCUCCCACCCAGCCAGUUCCUGAGAUAUGGCUAAAGUGAACCUGUCAAUGGCGAGGACAGAGCAUUUCUUUUUUUUUUGAGACAGAGUUUCAAGCUGUCACCCUGGGUAGAAUGCUGUGGCAUCAUAGCUCACAGCAACCGCCAUUUCUUGGGCUGAAGCGACCCUCUUGCCUUUGUUUUUCUAUUUUUAGUAGAGAGGAGGGGUCUCCCUUUUGCGCAGGCUGGUCUCGAACUCCUGAGCUCAAGCAAUCCACCCACCUCGGCCUCUCAGAGUGGGAGGAUUACAGGCGUGAGCCACCGCACCCAGACAGGACAGGGCAUUUUAUUCCUUUGCUCAAAAACCUUCCACACCUCCUAUUUUGGAACCUGGUAACUUCACACAGCUUGACCUCCCUGACUUGUCUUCCAGCUGGCCUGGCUGCUGGCCCUAGGACUCAAGGCCAACAUUGCUUUUGUAAAAGGAAAGUCUCAGGGCCACCUCCUAUGCAAAAGAGAAAUUCAGAGCCUCGGACACCUAGGAGAGCAGGGCCCAUAGAUCAUUCAUUAAGGAUAUUUCUUACUAACCUCUCAUAAACCAGAACAGCAAGUUAUACCUAUGUUUAAAAACUGAAACUAAAGCCUGUCCGAUUCCACGCUAAUAAUGAAUUAGAUCUUUAUCUUACAAUAGAACUGAACACAAGGCAGAAACAAACAUUCUUCCACCGACCCUGGGACAUGCUUCCUUCGAUCCCUUAUUUUAUGUAAAAUGUAGAUUUCUUGAGCCUCACGAGAAUGUAGCCACUACCUCAUUUGCCCCCCUACUCCCUUGCCUUUAUCCUUCCCUCUGUUGCCUUUAAAAUGCUGAGGUUCCAACCUCCACAGCUUGUCUGUGGCUCCAGUUUUUCCUGGGCGCAUCAUCAAAAUCUUGGAUUAAUAAACCUUCAUUGAUUGAGAGUUUUGCCUCAGUCAUUUAUUUGGGUAGAUACAUUAAACUAGACAUACGAGAUUUAGAAGAGCGGGGACCGAAUUAGCAAAGAAAACCGAUUUAAAAGACCAGGCCACGCCCUUCUCGCAGACCGGACUUCCCCUUUAAGAGGAUCUCCUGCCGGUCCAUCUCCACCUCCCUUGAGCUAAACUAGCAACAGAUUUACAAUCGCCAGGACUCAAGAGUUUUUCCUUCAAUGUCUGAAAAACUGCUACUGGCCUUUAAUAAGCCCAUCUCCUUUUAAGAGAAGGAAAAAAAUUAAAACCACCCGGAAGCAAAGCCUGCUUCCUCCCUUUUAAUGCGGCCUCUUGCCCUUUAAGAGGGCGGAGCCAACUCGGGGAACAAAAGUCGGCGGUGAAAUAGCUACGCCCCUUUAAGCCAUGUCUUCCGGUUUCACGCUCCUAAACGUCUCCGCCCUCCGGUCCCUCCCCCACCCCCACCCCUCCGGUCUCUCACCUGUGGCCCCGAUCCGGGGAACGAGGAGUCCCCAGGCACUUUGGCAUCUGGCCAAUAAUACCACAUCCCAGGUGUUUUGGGGGCCUUUCCUUCCAUCCCAUGCCAACGAGACCAGGGUCCUUGUUCAGCCUCAGACCCUCUGAGCCCACCCACCUGUCUCCAGUCAGCUAGGCCUCCUUGCACCUGGAAUAUGGAGACCCCACCACGCAACCCCCUCUGGAGAGGGAGUGACCGGCUUGUGAGUGAUUCUGAUCAAUGGCAGAACACAGAAGAAGGGCCCACAGCCCCAGCUGGGCACCUUGCCCAGGCCCUCCUGUACCAACCAGGACGUUGGCAUCCUCGAGCAUCCCGAGGCUGGAGUGCACCACCCGCUGUGUGUCCUGCCUGACCUGGCCCGGGACAGAGCUGGCUGGCAGAUGUUAGUUUUGGCUCCUGGGGUGUGGAAUGCAAGUUUUGAAAGGAGGGCUACCAGGUGUGAAAACAUAAUAAAGUGUGUAUUUUGGACUAGCAUGUCCCAGCUAUAUGUUGGCAGCCCCUUGCCUACCUGGGGUCAGUCCUGCCCUCUAAUCCUCCAGAGACGUUGGAGACCAAAGCAUGGGCCCUUUGCCUCUGUGCCUGAGGACUGGAGGGGAAUAGGACAGGGAAACAUCCAGGCCAUGCCCCAACACCAAGAGGCAUGGACUCUAGGACAUCUCACACACAUCACUCAGUACCUGCCAGGGGCAGUACAGAGAUUAAGAGUGAGUACCAAGGGAAGACUGAGGAGUGUUCAGCACCUAAGGGACAACACAGAGACUGCAGAGGGCACAGAGGAGACGGUGACAGAAACAGAGAUGAUGAGAGGAGCAGAGACGGGCACAAAUGGUGGGAGACAUGGAGAAACAGGAAGAGAAUCAUAGACGAAAACCAGGGAGGGGCAGAGGAGGAGAGGAUGAGGGCCAAGGAGAUAGCAAUGGAGCUGGAGAAAUCACAGCUGCAGUGAGAGGGACCAUGGGCAGGGUGCAAGAGGCCACUGGGGGUCUGGAGACCCUUGAAGACAUUCAAGAGAAAGAAGACAGGCCCGUUAUGUCCCCAACACAGAUGCCUGCCUCACUAGGUCCCCAACUCUGCCUGAGCCCACGGUUAGCCCUGCAGCAGUACUGAGUGUGGGAGGGACAGCAGUCACCAUGUAUUUGCCUGGCUAGUGAGGAAGGUUCUGGGCAACUGGCUGUCCUACUGCAGUGGGUCCAACGGUUCUGUGCUGCCUACCACACGCUCACAGGCACCUGGACCUCCAGCAAUAGCUCCAGCUGACUCAGCACUACUCUCUAGUGUCCCCACCUGCCCACCCUGGGCCCACCCACGUCUCUGCUGCUGACGCUGCCCUUGACACUGAUGGCCAGUAGCAGGCCUGGCAAGCACAGUCAUGAUCUCAGGACAUAGGAAGAUCCAG